Molecule: ribosomal RNA, 257 nt
Filed under: uncultured bacterium
Lineage: Bacteria
Description: partial 16S ribosomal RNA
Rfam family: Bacterial small subunit ribosomal RNA
Source: RNAcentral
UUGCUAAGGCCGAUGGCGACCGGCGCACGGGUGAGUAACACGUAUCCAACCUGCCGAUAACUCGGGGAUAGCCUUUCGAAAGAAAGAUUAAUACCCGAUGGUAUAAUAAAACCGCAUGGUUUAAUUAUUAAAGAAUUUCGGUUAUCGAUGGGGAUGCGUUCCAUUAGGCAGUUGGUGAGGUAACGGCUCACCAAACCUUCGAUGGAUAGGGGUUCUGAGAGGAAGGUCCCCCACAUUGGAACUGAGACACGGUCCAA